AGAUUGAACGCUGGCGGCGUGCUUAACACAUGCAAGUCGAGCGGUAACGCGGGAGCAAUCCUGGCGACGAGCGGCGAACGGGUGAGUAAUGCUUGGGAAUCUGCCCAUUAGUGGGGAACAACCAGCCGAAAGGUUGGCUAAUACCGCAUACGCCCUACGGGGGAAAGCGGGGGAUCGAAAGACCUCGCGCUAAUGGAUGAGCCCAAGUCGGAUUAGCUUGUUGGUAGGGUAACGGCCUACCAAGGCGACAAUCCGUAGCUGGUCUGAGAGGACGACCAGCCACACUGGGACUGAGACACGGCCCAGACUCCUACGGGAGGCAGCAGUGGGGAAUAUUGGACAAUGGGGGCAACCCUGAUCCAGCGACGCCGCGUGUGUGAAGAAGGCCUGCGGGUUGUAAAGCACUUUUAGUGGGGAUGAAAGCUCAGGGUUAACACCUCUGGGUCUUGACCUAACCACAGAAAAGCACCGGCUAACUCUGCGCCAGCAGCCGCGGU
Molecule: ribosomal RNA, 497 nt
Filed under: uncultured bacterium
Lineage: Bacteria
Description: SSU rRNA
Rfam family: Bacterial small subunit ribosomal RNA
Source: RNAcentral